CUAUAACCGUACAAGAUGUAAAUGAUAAUAGACCUGAGUUUAAUACAGGUAGAUUGGAUUAUAACGUAGAUCAAAGAACACUGCCAGGUAUACUCGGAUCAAUCAACGCUACAGACAGAGAUACAGGCCAUAACGCUCAAAUAUACUACUCUAUGAAAGGAGCACAGCCAUCUUCUACAACUAAUUACGUUCACGUCACUGGUAAUGGUGACGUCAGAUAUACCAGUCUCUUCCCUGAUUCAGCCAGUGGCAGUUAUCUCCUCUUUGUUGAAGCGCGAGAUAAUGGCGAGCCGCCUAGAUCUUCAACAGGCACCGUAGCUAUAACCUUCACUACAACUACUACAACCACUACAACUACAUCUGCGACAACGACAGUGGUUACGACUACGGUAACACGAACGUAUAAUUUCUGGGAACACAGUGAAAAUUUGAUCUUGUUUGCUCUGUUGAUGACGUUAUUGGUUUUGGGGUGUAUUAUUGGGGCCUGUUUGUAUCUGUCCGGUUCGUGCUGUGGUUCAAGAUCAAGAAGAAGACGUUGGGAUUGUGAUGGAUGUUGUCCCAGACAAGAAGUUCACGUAAGAAGAGUUCAACCAAUCUACGAAGAUUAUUAUCCUUCACACGAACCAUCUGUAGCAUCAGCGGAUUACCGUGAAGAUUUCUGGAACAAAGGUGAUCAUUUUGAAGAUGGCCGACCGUGGUCGACUGGUCUGGUCAGAUUGCAGGAUCCAAGAGGAGUUGUAGAUAGGACUGUUCUAGCCAGAAAAAUACAUUAAUAUUAGUUCAGCUCGACAUCGGAAGUAAUGACGGAUGACAGGACUGUUCUAGCCAGAAAAAUACGUUAAUGCCGCGGCACCG
Molecule: long non-coding RNA, 855 nt
Organism: Patella vulgata (common limpet)
Lineage: Eukaryota; Metazoa; Mollusca; Gastropoda; Patellidae
Exons: 5
Source: RefSeq, a predicted model, not a curated record